Sinocyclocheilus grahami is the source of this 364-nucleotide long non-coding RNA. RefSeq lists it as uncharacterized. The record is from RefSeq and is a predicted model, not a curated record. The transcript is spliced from 3 exons. Lineage: Eukaryota; Metazoa; Chordata; Actinopteri; Cypriniformes; Cyprinidae.
GGAGGAGCUUCAUCUGUCGAGAUGCGCACAGCUGUGGCUGCGCUGGACUGAACAUGUGAGAUGAUGACGGACUGAAUUUGACAUUUUUAAAUUGAAUUCAGUCUUGCACUCUUGUGAGAGAUAGUUGUGAAUCCGGAGUGAAAUGACGCGUCUCCUGCGCGCACCGCUUGGCGUCCUGUGCGUGUUUCUGUGGACGUGCUGCUGGAACGCGUCUGACGCGUCUGACGCUGAGGAUUGUCCAGAGAAUAAGAUCCUGACCGUGGAGUAUCCGUGUACGAGAGCUGGAGGUCAGAGAGGUCGCUGUCUCAGGAGGAAGUGCUGUGAAGGCUUCAGGUUUGUGAUGGGUCAGUGUGCGCCAGAAAGU